UUCAUGGCUUAAAUUUUAAGGCAAAUUUUCUGAGUUCAUAGGGUUUCCAUAGAAUAUGGAUGGAUUGUAUAAAAACUUUUUUUUUCUCUAAAAGGAAGGUCAUGAGGACAUGACUACAUCACUACUAGGUUUUUCAUCAAUUGCAAAACAGUUAGAGACAACACUUCAGGAACAGAAAGAAAUAUUAGAGUCUUUGACUAAGUGGUUUGGAAAGGAAGUCCAGCAGAUGGAAGAGUUAGGAAAAGAUGAACUUUUUCCAGAACUGCAGCUUCCUAUGGCUGAUAAGGACAUAACAGAUAGCAUAAUUAAACUAACACAACACAUCAGAAGUCUUGAAGAACUAAGAAACCGCAUUCACCAUCUGCCAAAGUCUGUGCAACCACCUCUAGCCAAACAAGCUUGUAAGAAAACAUG
This 414-nucleotide long non-coding RNA is filed under the name Crocodylus porosus (Australian saltwater crocodile). Its description in RNAcentral is "lncRNA (ENSCPRG00005007447.1)". The record is from RNAcentral. Lineage: Eukaryota; Metazoa; Chordata; Crocodylia; Crocodylidae.